RNAcentral lists this ribosomal RNA (497 nucleotides) under uncultured bacterium. Its description in RNAcentral is "partial 16S ribosomal RNA". It matches the Rfam family "Bacterial small subunit ribosomal RNA", at positions 28 to 507 of the family's 1533-position model. The record is from RNAcentral.
GAUGAACGCUGGCGGCGUGCCUAAUACAUGCAAGUCGAGCGAACAGACGAGGAGCUUGCUCCUCUGACGUUAGCGGCGGACGGGUGAGUAACACGUGGAUAACCUACCUAUAAGACUGGUAUAACUUCGGGAAACCGGAGCUAAUACCGGAUAAUAUAUUGAACCGCAUGGUUCAAUAGUGAAAGACGGUUUUGCUGUCACUUAUAGAUGGAUCCGCGCCGCAUUAGCUAGUUGGUAAGGUAACGGCUUACCAAGGCAACGAUGCGUAGCCGACCUGAGAGGGUGAUCGGCCACACGGGAACUGAGACACGGUCCAGACUCCUACGGGAGGGAGCAGUAGGGAAUCUUCCGCAAUGGGCGAAAGCAUGACGGAGCAACGCCGCGUGAGUGAUGAAGGUCUUCGGAUCGUAAAACUCUGUUAUUAGGGAAGAACAAAUGUGUAAGUAACUAUGCACGUCUUGACGGUACCUAAUCAGAAAGCCACGGCUAACUACGUG